RNAcentral lists this ribosomal RNA (445 nucleotides) under uncultured bacterium. Its description in RNAcentral is "bacterial SSU rRNA". It matches the Rfam family "Bacterial small subunit ribosomal RNA", at positions 330 to 793 of the family's 1533-position model. The record is from RNAcentral.
GCCAGACUCCUACGGGAGGCAGCAGUGGGGAAUAUUGGACAAUGGGGGGAACCCUGAUCCAGCGACGCCGCGUGAGUGAAGAAGUAUUUCGGUAUGUAAAGCUCUAUCAGCAGGGAAGAAGAUGACGGUACCUGACUAAGAAGCCCCGGCUAAAUACGUGCCAGCAGCCGCGGUAAUACGUAUGGGGCAAGCGUUAUCCGGAUUUACUGGGUGUAAAGGGAGCGCAGGCGGCCUGUUAAGUCAGCGGUAAAAGCCGGGGGCCCAACCCCGGCGAGCCGUUGAAACUGGCGGGCUGGAGUUGGAGAGAAGUACGCGGAAUGCGCGGUGUAGCGGUGAAAUGCUUAGAUAUCGCGCAGAACCCCGAUUGCGAAGGCAGCAUACCGGCGCCCAACUGACGCUGAAGCACGAAAGCGUGGGUAUCGAACAGGAUUAGAUACCCCUGUAA